GACGAACGCUGGCGGCGUGCUUAACACAUGCAAGUCGAACGCUGAAGCUCAGCUUUUGUUGGGUGGAUGAGUGGCGAACGGGUGAGUAACACGUGAGUAACCUGCCUCCUUCUUUGGGAUAACGCCCGGAAACGGGUGCUAAUACUGGAUAUUCACUGGUCUUCGCAUGGGGGUUGGUGGAAAGGGUUUUUCUGGUGGGGGAUGGGCUCGCGGCCUAUCAGCUUGUUGGUGGGGUUAUGGCCUACCCAGGCUUUGACGGGUAGCCGGCCUGAGAGGGUGAACGGUCACAUUGGGACGGAGAUACGGCCCAGACGCGUACGGGAGGCAGCAGUGGGGAAUAUUGCACAAUGGGCGCAAGACUGAUGCAGCGACGCCGCGUGAGGGAUGGAGGCCUUCGGGUUGUGAACCUCUGUCGCUCAUGGUCAAGCCGCAACAAUGGUUGUGGUGAGGGUAGUGGGUAAAGAAGCGCCGGCUAACUACGUG
This 483-nucleotide ribosomal RNA is filed under the name uncultured bacterium. RNAcentral's name for it is "partial 16S ribosomal RNA". It matches the Rfam family "Bacterial small subunit ribosomal RNA", at positions 28 to 507 of the family's 1533-position model. The record is from RNAcentral.